GACGGUUGCUGCUUUGGGUGUCUGUGGAGCGUCUCCUCUGCGCAGGGGGCUGUGCCUUCCACUCUGGGGAGGGAGGCAGAGGGAGCAGAAUCCCUGCCUGAAACAGGAGACACCAGGAAUCGUGUCACAGUGAAAGAGUUGGAGGUGACACACCUCCAGGACCGGGGAGGUCACGAGAUAGAGAAAGGGAAGCCCGGGUGGCCCAGGGAGGUCUUUGAGAAGGUGGCGCCCAAACUGGGUCUGGAUGAUGUUGGAAUCCAGAGAAAUGGGCCUGUAACGUGGCAUGUCUCUCCCAGGUGCCUACUACUGAUGAAGGGGAGCAGGAGGAAGGCCGAAGGAAGAUUUCUGAAAAAGCAACCAGCCUCCCAGGUCAGGACUGGGGACGAGUGUGUGUGUGUGUGUGUGUGUGUGCGCGUGCUGGGGAUUACCACUGAGUCACAUCUCCAGCCCUUUUUAUUUUGAGAUGAGGUCUUGGUAACUUGCUGAGGCUGGCCCCAAACUUGCAGUCCUCCUACCUCAGCCUCCCAAGUCACUGGGGUUACAGGCCUGUGCUACUGCUCCCGGCAGGAUUGGCUAUCUUUGUCUUCCUCUGAUCUGGUGGACACGAGACUCUUUGCAUAAAAUCUUUUCAUAUUUGGAUACUUGGCAGAGGAUAAAAUGGCAGAAAUAUUUAAUUACCUGAUUCGUUCAAGUGUGACGUGGUUAGCUAAAACUUAGUGAGGGGACCAUGCGCAGAAGGGAGGAAGCAGUGAACUAUUUCACAGUUGGCCCAGGGUACAAAUGGGUGUGCCACCCACCACGUUCCUGGAGUCAGAAAUGGUAUGCAGACGAGGGGGGGGGUCUUUGUCCUGAGAACCUUGCCUUUCAGCCCCCGCUCCCCACACCUUCAGGUCUGGGAAACAAGAAAGGCCGCGGGUCCUGUGCGUUGGACUAAAUGUGUGGGACUCCGGGGUCCUGGCCCCAGGGUCAGAGGCUGGGCAGUUCCUUGGAUGACUCCCGGGCUGUCCGAGGAGGUCCUGGGUCCGGUGUCCCUGCCUGGCUGGCUCCUUCCAGGUGGACGGCCUAGUGUGCGCAGCGCACCUGGAGGAGCUACUGGACCCGGGGCUGAGCUCUGCGCAGCUGGGACGGCACAGACUUCAGCUCCUCCAUCUUCCCUCUCCCUCUGCUUUCCCCACCUCAGGGCCUUUGCACCUGCUUGUUCCUCUGUCUGGAUGCUCUUCUUCCACCCUCCACUUGACCAGCUCCUUCCUACCACCCAGGUUUCUGCUCAAAGGCUCCCUUCUCAGAGAGCCCGUUCCUGACCCUCAUGUAUGACAGAGGUCCCCUCUCCCACGGAGACUCUCUUCCCUUCCUGGGUUUGCUUUUCUUUUUUCUUUUUGGUAGUGGGGAUUGAACCCAGAGGCACUAACCACAAGGCAACCUCCCCAUCUCCAGCCCCUUUUUCAUAGUUUAUUUAGAGACAGGGUCUCACUGAGUUGCUUAGGGCCUCGCUGAGUUGCUGAGGCUGGCUUUGAACUCACGAUCCUCCUGCCUCGGCCUCGAGAGCCGCUGGGGUUCCAGGCGUGGGCCACUGUGCCAGGCCUGUGGUUCGCUUGUCAUCAUCGCCGUGGCCACCGCUAACGUCACCUUGCACGUGACCUGUUAGUCUGCCUCCCUCGACCACACUGUAGUGUCCAGGGGGAGGGUCUUCUCCGUCAUGCCUUUCUGUGUCCUGGAGACUUAGGGCCAAGCCUGGCCACGGGACCCUCCAGACUUUACUGAAUGAGGGAGGGGGAUGGUGACAGAUGACGAAGUAGUGAUCAUGAGCAGCAGGCGUCUGCUCUUCCUGUCAAGGUGUGGGGUGCGCCCCGAGGGACCUGUCUUUGAGGUCCGUGAACGCUCACCGGUCAGGCUGCUGGGCAGUGCCUGGCCCUGGGUGGCAUCAACACCAACAGUGGGCAGCAUUCGUCGGAGGCCUAGGUCCUGGGUCCACCCGGCUGGGGCUCCUGCCUUCCCAGUGGGACAGUGGUGGCUUUGCUUAGGUGUCCCUCUGGCCGGUCCGGGGUCUCUGGCACUCGUAGGAAGGGUCUUUCUGGGGCAGUUAUUAUGAAGCUGAUUGUCCUUUCCUUCAUUCAGUGACACGUUUUGAGAGCUGCUUUGGAGCAGGCCACGGGAGCCGCUGGGAGCCGGGCUGAGGCACCCGGCCUCCUCUGGCCAGAGAGCCAGCUUGGAGGGACUGGGGUACCCGGGGGGACACUCAGCUUGAGUGGGGGUCCCUUCUCAAAGGAAGUGACCUCAUCUAGUCUGAGACCUACUGGUCAGGUAGGGCCUGGGCCGCACAGGGCUGCAGCCCGGGGGGGGCGAGAAGGGGGCGACCUGUGCCCACUGGGCGGAGCGGGGCCACGUGGCCUCCUGUUCCUCCUGUGUCUCCUCCUUUUUUUGUGGCUCUGGGGCCUGAGCAGGGCCUGUCGUGCGAGGCAGCCUCUCCCCCUGAACUUCGCCCCAGCCCAACCCUUUUUCUUCUUCUCCAGGGCAAGAUUCUCUGCCCGUCCCGCUGCCCACGUUCCUGGUAGCUGGGGGAAGCCUGGCCUUCGGCUCGCUGCUGUGCGUCGGCAUCAUCCUCAGGUGAGACGGGCGGGGGUCUCUGUGACGUCCUGUGUGUCGUAUGUAGCUGCCCUUCACCCCGGAACCACCAAAUGUACAGGGGCUGGGGACGGGGCUUGGUGUAGAGCCCUGGCCUGGGGAGCACGGCGCCCUGGGUUCUAGCCCAGCAGCGUGUGCACACAGACAGACACACGUGCACACGCACACACUCACACACGCGCGCACACGCACAUACACACGCGUGCACACACGUGCACACACACACAGAGCCUGCAGUGAGAAGUGCUUUGGGGUCUUGGAGGCCUCCGGCUGGCGGGCGUGGUGGUGCACCCCUGUGAUCCCAGUGACUCAGGAGACCCGGGGAGGCAGGAGGAUUGCGAGUUCGAGGCUCGCCGUGGUGACUUAGAAAGAUCCUGAAUCCACAUAAAAAAAUCUAAGUGGCUUAGGGCCUUGCUCAGUUUCUGAGACUGGCUUUGAACUUGUGAUCUUCCUGCCUCAGCCUCCCAAGCUGCUGGGAUCGAAAUUAUUUUUUUAAAAAAAUUAAAAAGAGGCUGGGGAUACAGCUCAGAGGUCAGGUGCCCUGGGUUCAAUCCCAUUUCCACACACACACCAUCUGGGAGCAUUUGCUCAUCCAUUUAUUCACUCAGCAAAUGAAGGCACCUCCAGCACACAGAGCGCCCACUAGGAGGCUACCCUGAUUCAGCGCUGCAGGACAGAGGCCGAUAGGGUGGAGGCUGUCUAAUGCGGAGGGCAGACUGGGUAGGUGACCACAGGUGUGUGGGUGACAGCUGCCAACAGAGCCGCUGAGCUGGGCACGGAGGCCCACGCCUGUAAUCCCAGCAGCUUGGGAGGCUGAGGCAGGAGGAUCGUGAGUUCAAAGCCAGCCUCAGCAACUUAGCAAGGCCCUGAGAAACUCAGUGAGACUCUGUCUCCAAAUAAAAAAUAAAAAGGGCUGGGGAUGUGGCUCAGUGAUCAAAUGCCCCUGGGUUUAAUCCCCAGUACCACAAACAAACAAAACUUCUUUUGGAUACAGAACUGGUUAUUUUUGUUUGUUGGUUGGUUGGUUGGUUGGUAUAGGGGGAUUGAACUCAACCACUGAGCCACAUCCCCAGCCCUAUUUUAUUUAGUGACAAAUUCUCACUGAGUUGCUUAGGGCCUCGCCAUUGCUGAGGCUGGCUUUGAACUCACGAUCCUCCUGUCUCAGCCUCCAGAGCUGCUGGGAUUACAGGUAUGUGCCACUGUGCCCUGCUCCUACCUUUUAAAUUUAGCAUUCUAAUAUAAGCAUUUUUUUUCCAUGUAUUUACAAAUCCUUUGCAAACUCACUUUCAUUAGCUGCAGAUCCCUCUAUCCGGGAUUAAUACCCAAGUUCACUAAACCAGUCUCCUAUUAUUGGGCAGUUGGAUGUUGUUCUGCUUUUAUAAACAACACUGUGCUGGACAUCUUUGUGCCAUAAGCUUCUCCAUAGCUCUGUUAUUCCCAGAAGAGGAAUUCCUUAGUCAGAGGGUCUGAAUAUUUUGCAAUCCAGAGUAUAAAGAAUCUGUCCUCUAUCUUCUCACAGGGGAGGAGAAUUCCACUCAAGGACUCAGCAAAACUUCAAUAAGCACCCCGCUGGGCUCUUCCUGUGUGGGGCCCAAGUGGCGAAGCCCUAAGUCACAUUCUGAGGUUGUUUAUUCCAUUUGGUCAGUGGGCUCAGAGCCAAAGGCAGACUUGGAGCCAACUAUCAAUUAUCUAUCCUCACAAGGACAGGAAUAGCCUGCUGAUAUAAAAAGAAGCCAAGGAAAAUGCCCAAAUUUUGUUUUUGAUGUUGGUUUCCCUUCCUCCCCGUGGUGCCUCCUGGAGCCACUGAUAUGUGCUGGACUCAGGGAGGCCAUCUUUCUCCCACUCUGGGGACAAGUCAGCCACAAGGUGGUCAGGAGACGGGGGAGAAGAGGCCCGGCUGCCUGGGCGCGGGUGAAGGGCCCCUUCAGGAAGGAGACCGGCUGCACCUUUGAAGAUCAAUGUCACCAUCUCCUCUUUCUCUGAUUGUCAAGUGACUUCUCUCCGUUGCUGAGCCUGGCUUUGGGCCCAGUGUGGAGCCCCGUGAGCAAGGCUGUGAUCAGAGAGAUAGAUGUCUAUCUCCUUCCUGUUUAGCACCGACUUUCCUGUCGGAUGAGUCAACCUGUGCCCGUGUGCCCACAGCGUGAGGGUGGGCACUCUCGCUGGUUGGGUGGGACGGACCAGAGGCUCAGGGAGAGUUGGGGGGAAUGGGAAUGUCAGGGACAGGAGUGUCACCAAGGGCCACUGAAUGGUGGUUGCACGUGGUCUUCGGGCUGGCCUUGAUUUGAAGGAGGCCCAUUUUCCUUCCCUCUAAAAGAAGACGUUGCUGUUUUGUUUUUUAGUCCUGGGGAUUGAGCCCCGGGGGUGCCCUAUCACUGGGCCACAUCCCCAGCUCUUUUUACUUUUUGUUUUGAGACAGGGUCUUGUUAAGUGGCCCGGACUGGCCUAGAACCUGGGGUCCUUCUGCCUCGGCCUCUUGAUUCAUUAGGAUCACGGGCAUGAUCCACCAUGUCUUGAUGUUUCCCUUUUCAAAAAUAAAUGGACUGGGGACUGACGAUGGAUAGCCUGUGGGACAGGACAAAUUGAGGGAUUAGCAGGGACUUGCUGGUGCUCCACCAGGACAACCCUGCCUGCCUCAGUCCCCCUUUUGCCUAGCCGUGGAGACCUCCCUUCUUGGGAUGCUUGGGGAACUCAGCCGCUCUCCGGAGGCUGGCAGAAUCUCUGGGGUUUGAGACCAGCUGCUGAUGGGAUGAAUCAUCAUCACGCCUUGGAGCCGAGCCUGGGCGCUCCAGACCUCCAGGGCCACCAGCUGUUGGGUUCAUCGCAGGGGACCGUCACAUGGGUGUGAUGUGUCUUUGUGUGUUUGCGUGCAGGUUCAAGAAGACGUGGAAGCCACAGGCCCUGAAAGAGUGCAAGACGGGCGUGCACCCGCCGUAUUCCCUGGGGCAGUCCAAGCCCACCAUUGUGCUGGCUCCCCUCCUUUCCCCACCUGUGUCCCCCAGCAGCCUCGGCUCAGACAGCACCUCGAGCCACAGCCGACCAGAUGCCAGGGACUCGCGGAGCCCUUACGACAUCAGCAACAGAGACUACUUCUUCGCCAGAUAGCUGUCUGGGUGGCCCCUGGCAGCGGGGUGACAGAGGUGCUGAAUUGUGUGGGUGACGCAGCCCACGCUGGCUCUGGAAAGACGCUUCUCACUGCCAUUCCAGCUCAUCUCAGGGGCGUGGGGCAUUUGGCUUCACGGUGACGGAAGAGCCUGCAGAAGGUUCUAGACUGGUGGAAAUCGGCUUGCUACACCUGUUCUGAAGGAAGAGCUGGUUGAGCUUUCAAACCGCUCUUCCCAAGCGCUCUGCUUCGGGGGGUCUCAGCGACUCAGGACACUGUGAAGAGAGCCGCGCCAAGACUCGAUGGGACCGAGGGUGUGGAGGAGCUGCCGGGCACCCCCACACCCGGACUCAUCUCUGCCAGCCGAACCCUCAGGCAGGGGCAGGGGCUUCCAGGAGGCCUGCCGUGGUGGCUGGCUCCUGCCCCUGCCCAGUCGCACCUUGUCCCUCCGACUCUGGAAACCCAAGUGCCUUUGCCAUUCUGUUUCCUGGACUGAGGAUGGCUUUGUGCAAACCACUGAGGCUGGGGAGGGAGCUCUUUCCUGCCUUCCCCCCACACUUGAAAAGCAGCUGGUGUGUGAGUGUGAGUGUGAGUGUGUGUGCAGGGGGUGGUGAAUAAGUCUCAGGGCCGAUGGUUUAAGUGGAAUCAUAAUCAGCUCCUCACGAGUGUUGUGCUCAAUGUGAAUGAUAACCCUAGGCUUUUGCUGGCUACAGAAGCAGCUGCGCCAACUUUGUCCCCCUGUUGGGGUCUCAGGGCUUGAGGACAGAAGCAGAGAGGAAGGAGGGGAGUAGGGACAGGGUCUUCAAGGUCCCCUGUUGUAGCUGAGGGGGACCCCAGCCUCUGGAAACCAGUUUCCUCUCCCCCCUGCCAGUGCUGGGAGCCAAGUCAGUUGACUUCAUCUUGGUUGGUUGGGGUGCCGACCGGACCUGAGUGAUCAGUGUAGACGGUGUCGGUGUGAAAGGAAAAACGAAUCCGCAAGAAUGUGCUUCGUGUUUUUGAAAACCUGCUCUUUUCUCUUGAGGUGCUGGGAGCCUCAGUCUUCUCUGGAUUUCGGUUUAUAAAUAACUUGGGGCGGGGCACGAUGAUUCUGUUUAGCACCAAAGCAAGUCCACUCAAAAAAGGAGGAGGAGGAGAAGAAGUUUCCCUUAUGGAGAAGAGAUUCUGGUUUCAUUCUGUAUUUUGUUUUUGUCUUGCAAACCGUAAAAAUAGUCUCUGCCUCUUCUCUGAAUUGGGGAAAAAGUCACUUGUGACUGUCCCCCUGCCCCUCCCCUAGGUGGUUAGGAAAGAAAGGGUGUCCCCCUUCCUGUUGUGAUGCCGCCCACGAGUACCCGGCAGGGUCCUAGAAAGUCCCCACUGAGACUCAGAAGGGAGGUUCAUUUUUUUAAAAAUAUAAAUCCCUUACCUGGGUUUCUUCCUCUUUUUGUUUUGUUCCUUGAACUGGAUUCGGCUCAGCUCCCAUGGAAGCAGCCGAUGGGUGUCCAGCUGUGACACCCGUAACCACCAGCUCACUUUCCUGUCGGGGCUUUGAGAACUCAGUGAUGUUAGUGUCACCCAGACAGGUGACCACAGAGGAGAGCGGUGAUUAAAACGAGCUGUGGAGCCACAGACCCUGAAUUUACCAGACCACAAGGCUUUUCUAGAAGUUUACCCUUUUAGAAAAACACCACCGCCACCAGACACGUGGCGAAGGGUGGAAGCCCCCAUGUGUUCGCCAAGCGCCGGGUUCUGGGCGUCACUGUCUCGAGCCCUGGUGGCUCUCACAUCCUGCCGUCUUAGGCGGGUGGUCCACGGGGUUGACAAGAGUCAAGCAGGUGUUCAUGGCUCUCCUUUCCCCCCGCUCUGUCAGGUUUCUGAAUCACAAAAAUGCUGUGAAAGGAAAUGUUAGAAUGAGGAUCUGCAUGAGAGAGUGCGACUCUGCCCACGGCUCUUUAACUCUCACACAGUUCUGCCCACAGCCAGGCAGGGCCGCUGGUGGGGGACGUGAGAUCCAGAGAGUUCAUCGUCUCUGAGAGCGAGGCAGCUUUGAUCUCCAAAUUGUUAUUGCUUUCACUAUUAUUGUACCGGAACUGCCUUUUCUUUUGGGGGGAGGCGGUAUCACAGAGGGUUCCCCCCUUUACUUGUUGUAAGCUAGUGCCAGUGGAGGAAAGGCUGGCCUCUCUGGGCUCAGAGUCUGCUUCGUGGCCAGGCCCCUGCCUUAGGCUUUCUGUGUCUGAAUGGUUCCUGGACACGUGUCUCUGUCCACUAGUCCCAUGGAUCACUCUUCCUUAGGUCCCUGCAGUCCACAGGCUGCCUUGGAUCCUCAACAGGGCCGACACUACCUACGGCCUGCGCCCUCAGCCACAUAGCCAGAUGUUGAAGUGUGUGGACAGGGACCAUUGAAGGAGGAGGGAUGCACGAAUUUAGAAGCCCAUCUUGUUGGGUGGGCCCAGUCGAAAAUAUGCUGGACCCAGGUCUAACCUAAAGUGAUCAUCAGUUCUUGUAGCAUUAAUGACAUGUUUUUAAAAAAACAUUGGAUGUGUGUCGUACAAGGUCUUUGGGGGACUCCGCGGUUUGCUCUGAUGGGGUCUCCCCCUGGCCGUUUGUUUGCCGGACCCUGAACUCACACUGGGCCUCCACCACUUCCCCGCUGUCUCAGGAGCAAGGCGUGGGCUCCGUUGUGGGAACUGGUUUGGGAGCCCCGUGGUCCUGAGUAGAGCCCAGCGGGCAGCCUGGGGCUGGCCAUGGCUUGUGAGUCUCUUGAAGAUUGUUCCGGAAUGUCUUGCCCAGCUGCUCCGGCGCUGUCUGUUCCCAUUGCAGGUCCUUAACAUUGACCCACUUGGGAAGGUGUCCCACCCCCAGUUCCAGGUGGAGAUGGUGACAAAUCUGUCCUCAUUUGGAGACGGGAGCCACCAACGGUCCUUCUCCAAACAGCAACCUGCAAUGGGGCUGUGGCCAGAAGGCUCCAGCAGCUGCCUCCGGCUUUGGGCCAGGCACUCCCAGGCGUCCCCUAAAAGUCCUUCCAGCCUCUGUCCCUAGUGUGGCUGGGCGCCAGCUCCAGGGAGUUCCCAUGGCAACCUUGAUGAUCGUUAAGGAACAUUGUCAGUUUUCUGAACAUGUGCUCAGAUGGAGAUCUGCUUUGGAAGGGAAGGACUGGGACAGCGAGAGACCUCGCUGGAGGAGCCCACGCCUGCUGACCACGAUACCUCAGCUCUGCAUCGCUUUUGGAGAGAAAUAGAUCAUCGUUUUAAGGGACUUCCCUCUUAAUUACCUGAAAACCAAUACCAAAGGCUGAUGUCAGUGUAUUUUGAUUUUUCAACGCUUUUUUCCUUUUAUCGCUAUUUUGCACUUAAAGUGAACAUGGUAAAUGUUUGAAAUAAAUAAUUUCUAAAAAAAGAC
This 9097-nucleotide long non-coding RNA is filed under the name Marmota monax (woodchuck). The record is from RNAcentral. Lineage: Eukaryota; Metazoa; Chordata; Mammalia; Rodentia; Sciuridae.